Molecule: long non-coding RNA, 250 nt
Filed under: Mytilus galloprovincialis (Mediterranean mussel)
Lineage: Eukaryota; Metazoa; Mollusca; Bivalvia; Mytilida; Mytilidae
Source: RNAcentral
AUUUUGAUGGAACUAUACUAAGUGAAUCUACCUGUGUUCGAAAUCUUGGAGUUUUUCUCGAUCAAACCCUCAGCAUGCAGUAACAGACAAAUGCAAUUACCAAAUCCUGUUUCCAUCAGAUUCAUAACAUAGGACGGAUUCGAUCAUAUAUAACAGAAGACGCUUGCAAAACUCUUGUAUGCUCUCUUGUUACGUCGCGACUUGAUUACGGUAAUGCUUUGAUGUAUGGUGUGAAUGCCUAGAGUCUAUC